Molecule: ribosomal RNA, 433 nt
Filed under: uncultured bacterium
Lineage: Bacteria
Description: partial 16S ribosomal RNA
Rfam family: Bacterial small subunit ribosomal RNA
Source: RNAcentral
AGCGAACGCUGGCGGCAGGCCUAACACAUGCAAGUCGAACGAACUCUUCGGAGUUAGUGGCGGACGGGUGAGUAACACGUGGGAACGUGCCUUUUGGUUCGGAAUAACUCAGGGAAACUUGUGCUAAUACCGAAUGUGCCCUUCGGGGGAAAGAUUUAUCGCCAUUAGAGCGGCCCGCGUCUGAUUAGCUAGUUGGUGAGGUAACGGCUCACCAAGGCGACGAUCAGUAGCUGGUGUGAGAGGAUGACCAGCCACACUGGGACUGAGACACGGCCCAGACUCGUACGGGAGGGAGCAGUGGGGAAUCUUGCGCAAUGGGCGAAAGCCUGACGCAGCCAUGCCGCGUGAAUGAUGAAGGUCUUAGGAUUGUAAAAUUCUUUCAGCGGGGACGAUAAUGACAGUACCCGGAGAAGAAGCCCCGGCUAACUUCGUG